Molecule: long non-coding RNA, 1468 nt
Filed under: Gossypium barbadense (sea-island cotton)
Lineage: Eukaryota; Viridiplantae; Streptophyta; Magnoliopsida; Malvales; Malvaceae
Description: long non-coding RNA (GBAR_LNC012731)
Source: RNAcentral
AAGAAUUGGGAUUAGCAUGCAAACUUGAAAAAUUGAAGUUAUUAUACUAAGAAUCAGGAUUGGCGUGUAAUAUUAUAAGGGUAAAGACAAGAAAAAGGAAAGUAAAACAAAUAGCGAAAAGAAAAUGCAUCAAUAACCUUUGGUUUAUCCAAAAUAACAUGGUUUUUUAGGGUUUCUCGAUAAAUCAUGCAUUUACUUAUUGUCUGAAUGAAUAAUGUUCUAUAAGUAAAAUGAAGAUACCAAUGUGGAAAUUACUCAAUUUUAUUCAAUUUAUCAUGCAAUCCAUCGAGGAAGAAUGAUCUCCAGAAGAACAUCCGAGUUGUUAGAAUUUGAGACUUGGAACUUGAAAAUUUUAUCUUCGGUGAUGUUGCUAUCUCUUUUUGGGUUAACUAGACUAAAAACCCAUGGCCAAGAUUUUAAAUUGGUACUCAAACUUCAAUCCAUUCUAAUUGAGUCAUCAAAAUAUCAAUAUACUAUCAAUUAGAUUUUUCUUUCAGACUAGAAAUUAGUACACGCAAAUCAAAUUUUAAACAAGGGUCUAUUUAUUGCAUGGACAACUUAAAUUUUGAUGUGUUAAAAAUAGCCCUUUUAAAUUUUAACAAUGCUGUUUAUAUUUUUCUAGUGUAUUACAUACAAGUUGCUCAUGCAGUAGGUUCAAAUAUGUUUAAAAUUGAUCUCCAUGUGAAAUCUAAGCUAGAAUCUAAUCUCCAAAAUGACGACAAGGCGAAUAGAAAACUUGAUUGAUAUGAUAUUGGUACUUCGAAAAUUCAAUUAGAACUUUUCAAAGUUCAAGGACCAAUUUAAAACUUUUUUCUUUCAUGGAGCAUCCUCGCAAGUUGCAACAAUGCAGAUCUCAAUGCAUAACAAAAAAUGCUUUUUAGUUUUCUUUUAAAGAUGAGAGGAGGAAAGAAUUAGUCGGUGGAUGCAGGAUUUUCUGAAAUUAACAAAUUGACUUUUUACACCACCCAUCUCUUGUGAAUUGCUAAUGCAUCUUCACUAAAAAAUGUUUCCAUUUCUAAAUGUUUCUAUCUUUCCUCCCCCUUCCUUUUUUGGUUCAACUCUUGGUUUAAGCAUAUUGUGAUGGGAUAACAUGCUUGUUUUAUUAUAUAGGCUAUGGACCUUUCACUCUUUUAGGCAAUGAUGCUUCAAUCCUUAAAAGAUUUAGAUUCUGUGUAGUGGGAAAUAUGUUUGAAGAAAUUAGAAACCACUUUGCUAGAUAUUUAUGUGUUAAUAGUAACAACAAUCAGGUAUAAGGUUGAAAGAGAAUGCUUGACAUCGAAAUAGAAGAGGAAAAACAAAUUUGGAAAGAAGAGUUAGGUAUAAAUGAUGAUACAUCAAUUUAUUAUUGUGAUUUGGAUGAUUUCUAGGUAGGUUUUGUUGUGAGAAGGAACCAUGGAAAACUGGUAUAGCAUCAGACUAGGCCAUUUUAGUUAAAUGUUGCAUAUACUUUUUUCUUUCCAUGAACACA